UCGAACGCGAUUGAGUUUCGGCCUCAGUUGAGUGGCAACGGGUGAGUAACACGUGGGUGACCUACCUUCGAAUGGGGGAUAACGUCCCGAAAGGGACGCUAAUACCGCAUAAUAUCCUGCUCUUGAAUGGCGGGAUCAAAGCUGGGAUCGUAAGACCUGGCGUUUGAAGAGGGACCUGCGCCCGAUUAGCUAGUUGGUGGGGUAACGGCUCACCAAGGCAACGACUGGUAGCCGGCCUGAGAGGGCGGACGGCCACACUGGGACUGAGACACGGCCCAGACUCC
Molecule: ribosomal RNA, 284 nt
Filed under: uncultured bacterium
Lineage: Bacteria
Description: partial 16S ribosomal RNA
Rfam family: Bacterial small subunit ribosomal RNA
Source: RNAcentral